Molecule: non-coding RNA, 24 nt
Filed under: Arabidopsis thaliana (thale cress)
Lineage: Eukaryota; Viridiplantae; Streptophyta; Magnoliopsida; Brassicales; Brassicaceae
Source: RNAcentral
GUAUUCUUGAGGUCCCUACUGAAU